This 118-nucleotide ribosomal RNA is filed under the name Danio rerio (zebrafish). The record is from RNAcentral. Lineage: Eukaryota; Metazoa; Chordata; Actinopteri; Cypriniformes; Danionidae.
AAUCACAGCCAUAUCACCCUGCAGCCCAAGACUGGGUACUCACUGAAGCUAAGCAGGGCUGAGCCUGGUCAGUACCUGGAUGGGAGACCACAUGGGGAAAACUAGGCAGCUUUUGGAA